Ceratosolen solmsi marchali is the source of this 317-nucleotide long non-coding RNA. RefSeq lists it as uncharacterized. NCBI's taxonomy places the organism in Eukaryota, Metazoa, Arthropoda, Insecta, Hymenoptera, Agaonidae. The transcript has 3 exons. The record is from RefSeq and is a predicted model, not a curated record.
GCAUAUUUGUUAUGGAAGCAGAGAAGCCUCGGAGAGUUUAUAGGUUAUAAGUACCUCAAUAAAUGCUGUAAAAGCAUCAGUUGACUUUUGGUUGACAGUAUCGAGAAUAGGUAUGAAGAUGUGAGGAAUGUAUAGAAUCAAAUAAAAAGAAAAAUGGAACUCGAGGACAAGAGUCCGCUAGCUGUUGAAAUUGGGCAGGAGGAGAAUACAACCAGUCUUGAUAAGUCCGCAAAUAUUGAUCUAUUGAGCGAUUGCCAGAAUGAAAUGGAAGGAACUGUGAUAAUUUAUGACAAUGACGCACAUGGAGAGACAAUUGU